This 459-nucleotide ribosomal RNA is filed under the name uncultured bacterium. RNAcentral's name for it is "partial 16S ribosomal RNA". It matches the Rfam family "Bacterial small subunit ribosomal RNA", at positions 338 to 795 of the family's 1533-position model. The record is from RNAcentral.
CCUACGGGUGGCAGCAGUGAGGAAUAUUGGUCAAUGGACGCAAGUCUGAACCAGCCAUGCCGCGUGCAGGAAGACGGCUCUAUGAGUUGUAAACUGCUUUUGUACGAGGGUAAACGCAGAUACGCGUAUCUGUCUGAAAGUAUCGUACGAAUAAGGAUCGGCUAACUCCGUGCCAGCAGCCGCGGUAAUACGGAGGAUUCAAGCGUUAUCCGGAUUUAUUGGGUUUAAAGGGUGCGCAGGCGGAGGGUAAAGUCAGCGGUAAAAUUGCGGGGCUCAACCCCGUACUGCCGUUGAAACUGUGUGCCUAGAGUGGGCGAGAAGUAUGCGGAAUGCGUGGUGUAGCGGUGAAAUGCAUAGAGAUCACGCAGAACUCCGAUUGCGAAGGCAGCAUACCGGCGCGCAACUGACGCUGAAGCACGAAAGCGUGGGUAUCGAACAGGAUUAGAUACUCGAGUAGUC